CCUACGGGAGGCAGCAGUGAGGAAUAUUGGUCAAUGGACGAGAGUCUGAACCAGCCAAGUAGCGUGAAGGAUGACUGCCCUAUGGGUUGUAAACUUCUUUUAUAUGGGAAUAAAAUGUUCCACGUGUGGGAGUUUGUAUGUACCAUAUGAAUACGGAUCGGCUAAAUCCGUGCCAGCAGCCGCGGUCAUACGGAGGAUCCGAGCGUUCUCCGGAUUUAUUGGGUUUAAAGGGAGCGUAGGUGGAUUGUUAAGUCAGUUGUGAAAGUUUGCGGCUCAACCGUAAAAUUGCAGUUGAAACUGGCAGUCUUGAGUACAGUAGAGGUGGGCGGAAUUCGUGGUGUAGCGGUGAAAUGCUUAGAUAUCACGAAGAACUCCGAUUGCGAAGGCAGCUCACUGGACUGCAACUGACACUGAGGCUCGAAAGUGUGGGUAUCAAACAGGAUUAGAUACCCGGGUAGUC
Molecule: ribosomal RNA, 460 nt
Filed under: uncultured bacterium
Lineage: Bacteria
Description: partial 16S ribosomal RNA
Rfam family: Bacterial small subunit ribosomal RNA
Source: RNAcentral